CCUGAAACCGUAUGUCUACAAAGUGUCAGAGCAGAGCAAUCUGCGAUGGCGUGCCUUUUGUUUAAUGAGUCUGCGAGUCAGUGUUUGUGGCAAGACUAAGGGCUUCCGGCCCGGAGUCGCAGCGAAAGCAAGUCCGAAUAGGGCGAAUUAAGUCGCAGGUACUGGACCCGAAGCGGAGGUGACCUACCCUUGGCCAGGUUGAAGCAUGGGUAAAACCAUGUGGAGGACCGAACAGGUGAACGUUGAAAAGUUCUCUGAUGAGCUGAGGGUAGGAGUGAAAGGCUAAUCAAACCCCGUGAUAGCUGGUUCUCUUCGAAAUGCAUUUAGGUGCAGCGUCACGUGCUGAUGCGCGGGGGUAGAGCACUGACAAGGCUAGGGGGCACACCCGCUUACCAAACCUUAUCAAACUCCGAAUACCGUGCAAUGGAACGUGGCAGUGAGACAGUGGGGGAUAAGCUUCAUUGUCGAGAGGGAAACAACCCAGACCAGCAGCUAAGGUGCCUAAAUAACGCUCAGUGGAAAGGAUGUGGGAUUACACAGACAGUGAGGAUGUUGGCUUAGAAGCAGCCACCAUUUAAAAAAUGCGUAAUAGCUUACUCAUCGAGUGAUCCUGCGCCGAAAAUGAUUGGCGAUCAAGCGUUAUACCGAAGCUCUGGACUUUACCUUACGGUAGAGUGGUAGAAGAGCGUUGCAUGCGCGUUGAAGGGUGAUGGCGACUGACCCUGGAGCACAUGCAAGUGAGUAUGCAGACAUGAGUAACGUAAAGCCGGGUGAAAUCCCCGGCCGCCGUAAACCCGAGGUUUCCAGGGCAACGUGUUUCGUCCCUGGGUUAGCCGGGACCUAAGCCGAGGCCGAGAGGCGUAGGCGAUGGAUAUCAGGUUAAUAAUCCUGAGCUCGCGACCCUUAAACUGGGGGGACGCAUGAGAAAAGAUGACUAGGUUAUUGAAUUCCGAGUUGAGUCCACGGACUCAGCGCAUCAUUGGAUCGAGUGCCAAGAAAAGCCCCAGCGUAUGCUAAGCGACCCGUACCGCAAACCGACACAGGUGGGUGGGUAGAAUAUACCAAGGCGUAAGAGUGAAACCUGGUUAAGGAACUCGGCAAAUUAGCCCCGUAACUUCGGAAGAAGGGGUGCCUGCAGCGAUGCAGGCCGCAGAGAAAUGGCCCAACCGACUGUUUAUCAAAAACACAGCACUCUGCAAAGACGCAAGUCGAAGUAUAGGGUGUGACACGUGACCAAUGCCGAAAGAUUAAGGCAAGGGGUUAGCCGCAAGGCGAAGCUCUGAACCCAAGUCCCGGUGAAUGUCGGCCGUAACUAUAACGGUCCUAAGGUAGCGAAAUUCCUUGUCGGGUAAGUUCCGACCUGCACGAAUCGUGAAACGAGUUGGGCACUGUCUCAACCAGGCGCUCAGUGAAAUUGUAGUGGCGGUGAAGAUGCCGCCUACCCGCAGAAGGACGGAGAGACCCUAUAGACCUUAACUGUAAGCUGUCAUUGUUUCUUCGGUUUUAAUGCUCAGAGUAAGUGGGAGACGCUGAAGACGCCCUUUAGGGGGCGUCGGAGUCAUCAAUGAGACACCACCCUUUGAAACUGGAGGAUCUAACCCUGAGCCGUGAAUCCGGCCAGAGGACCGUGUCAGCCGGUCAGUUUUACUGGGGCGGUAUCCUCCCAAAGAGUAACGGAGGAGCGCGAAGGUGGGCUCAGCCCGGUUGGCAACCGGGUGUCGAGUGCAUGGGCAUAAGCCCGCCUAACUGUGAGACCAACAAGUCGAGCAGAUGCGAAAGCAGGCCCAAGUGAUCCGGCGGUAGAAAGUGGAAUUGCCGUCGCUCAACGGAUAAAAGGUACCUUAGGGAUAACAGGCUGAUCACGCCCAAGAGUUCAUAUCGACGGCGUGGUUUGGCACCUCGAUGUCGGCUCGUCGCAUCCUGGGGCUGGAGAAGGUCCCAAGGGUCCGGC
RNAcentral lists this ribosomal RNA (1951 nucleotides) under human gut metagenome. RNAcentral's name for it is "bacterial LSU rRNA". It matches the Rfam family "Bacterial large subunit ribosomal RNA", at positions 549 to 2577 of the family's 2925-position model. The record is from RNAcentral.